GCUGGUAGGAGUCCGGGGUUUGCCCUCAGAGUGCAUUCCAGCAGGUGUUUUCUUUUCUUCAGAAGACUCGGCUUAACAUGGAGACUUUCCAACGCCUCAGGAAAAUUCAUGGGGACCUGGAAUGUCAGUACUGUGGUAAAUUGUUCUGGUACAAAGUCCACUAUAACAUCCACGUACGCAGACACACCAAGGAGCACUCGUAUUACUGUUCAAAGUGCAGCUACUCGUCCAUCACCAAAACCUCUUUAAUGCGGCACCAGAUCCAGAAGCACAGUGGCUUGCUGCUGCCUUGUUCCAGUCCUGGCUGAAAAUACACCACACCUGACAAAUACAAACUUCAGGCCCAUUUGAGGACGCAUCAGGGACAGGAGAAUAGUUUGGCCUGUCCUGUCUGCCAGCACAGCUAUCCAGAGCACAGACUGAAACACCACAUCAAAACAUCCCACCCUGGUAAAGAACACACAGAUGUAUCUACAGACACAGAGAAAAGAACACACACUAACCACUGAACUUAUCCUGACACAUAACCUUUGCUCACUCUCCACUGUUGUCUUAGGUGGAAUCUUUGCACAGAACCAGGAAAUGUCAUC
Molecule: long non-coding RNA, 590 nt
Organism: Monopterus albus (swamp eel)
Lineage: Eukaryota; Metazoa; Chordata; Actinopteri; Synbranchiformes; Synbranchidae
Exons: 3
Source: RefSeq, a predicted model, not a curated record